This 148-nucleotide ribosomal RNA is filed under the name Mycoplasma wenyonii. RNAcentral's name for it is "partial 16S ribosomal RNA". It matches the Rfam family "Bacterial small subunit ribosomal RNA", at positions 414 to 555 of the family's 1533-position model. The record is from RNAcentral. Lineage: Bacteria; Bacillati; Mycoplasmatota; Mollicutes; Mycoplasmatales; Mycoplasmataceae.
GUCUUCUGAUUGUAAAGUUCUUUUAUUUAGGAAAAAAAGCGUGCUAGGAAAUGAGUGCGCCUUGAUGGUACUAAUUGAAUAAGUGACAGCUAACUAUGUGCCAGCAGCUGCGGUAAAACAUAGGUCACGAGCAUUAUCCGGAUUUAUU